This 2479-nucleotide long non-coding RNA is filed under the name Lathyrus oleraceus (garden pea). RNAcentral's name for it is "Pisum sativum (pea) long non-coding RNA (PSAT_LNC038308)". The record is from RNAcentral. Lineage: Eukaryota; Viridiplantae; Streptophyta; Magnoliopsida; Fabales; Fabaceae.
UAAUAAGAAACAAGUUGCAACAGUACCAAGUCAAAGGACAUGUCUUAGGAAGUGUAAAGUGACGGUAUGGUUUCUACAAACUGGACAAUGGGAUUCGCACGAAUGAUUCAUGACCACAAGAUAGCACAAUAGGCUUAUACAAACGCAACAAUCAAAGGAUUUGUGGAUCACUUGUUGUUUGUUUACAAGAAGCUGCUCAUCCUUCAAUGUGUUAUCAUUCUUAUAAAUAACUGCAUCCUUUCCAUCAUGUUUAUUGAGAAAUGAUUUAUAUGAAGCAGAUAAAUUGUCUUGGUGUAAUAUAAGCAGACAAAAUUUGGGAAGAAGAGAGGCACAUAAGGAAAAUGUCUUUGUGCUUCCACGUGAGAGGUUUACAGACUUUCUCAAACCAUUUUCUCUUAAUCCCACAAUGAGAUGCUAAGACAACAUGUACAAGAACGUAAAUAGCCAAGCUAGUGAUGUGCUUCUAACCCUGUCAGAAGUAUAGACUUCCCGAUAACUUCCCUUGUUACCCCAAGAAAUAAACCAUAUCUUAACGUUUCCUUCAGAGUCGAAACAAUCACCCCGCCUUCCGUCACCACAAUCUCCUUCCUUGGCGGUUUUUUCGUUUGUCUCUCUCCUUCGCACAUGAUCAACUCAUGGUAUCCUUACAUCAACAACAAUAACUCUCUUGGAUUUAUGAUUUACGGUUCGACAUAAUUACGAGUUGUAUCGUGGUUUGAGGCUUUGUAACUUGCAUACCAAAUGUUUGGUGAAUUGCUUCAACCAAGUUCUUUUCUCUUUUUUCCUUGUUUUGGUUCCGUUACGGAUUCUCUUUUCUCACUAUUUUUGGAUUAUGAAUCGGUUGUCAAGUUUGAGAAUGGUUUCUUGAAUGGCUUUCAAGUUGAUUUUGGUUUGGGAAAUUGGUUUAGUAAUGAAUUCUUUUUCUUUUUUUUUUAUUUGCAGUUUCUUGCAAUUUAUGGUGAAUUUGAUGAAGGUUGAAAUUGGUGAUGAAAGAGGUCAAAUUUUGGUGCUGAAUUUUCUAUGAUUUGUGCUCAUGGCAAGAUUUAGAUUUUCACGAUAAUCGUCUAUUUAAGAUGAAAAGUAAGACAAAUACAUAAUCAAGCAUGCAAAGAUAACUCAAACAAGCAAGUAAUCAUAGAAGGCAUAAGCAAGCAAGCGUUCAUGGAGUGGUAAAUGGAGUUUGAGGCUUACCGAUCGGAGACCCUCCGAUGGUUCUUCAAUGACGAUGCAAAUUCAAUAUGGUAAGCGAUUAUUCAAUUCCUCUUCAUUUCUUCUCCAUCCCCUUUCUUUUUUUCUUCCAUUGAUUUUCUUGUUGUUUUUGAUUCUUUUGCCGCUUUUCCAUGCUUGAAUCAUGGAAAACUAUGAUGUGAAAUGUGAUGAAGGUUUAUGCUCAAGUUGGUUGAAGCUUCAAUGAGAAGCUUCAACAACCAUGGAUUUGAGCUCUAGUGAGGGAAGGUUGAAGAAUGGAGAAUGGAAAGUGAAAAUUUGAGAGAAAGUGAAGAAUGGGUGGAAUCAAAAAGUGAAGAAGAAGCCUUAGUGAGUGAAAGAUGAAUGCUUAUAUAGAACUAGGUGAGGGAUGAUUAGAGGUUGAAAAUUUGUUAGAAAUUAGUUGGGGCUGUUGUGGGCACUUUAUGCAAUUGCCUAAAGUAGUUAGAAGUUAGUUUGUGGAAGUUUAAGGUAGUUAGGGUGAUUAAAACAUGGAUGUAUGUGAAUUCACAUGCAUGUGCAUAUGCUGAAUUUUUAGUGAAUAUGAAGGAAAUUGGAUGAAUUUACAUGGCACCACUCGAAUACAUGUUUGGCCAUUUACAUGGUAUGAAUGAAUGAAUUAUAAAUGCAUUUGGGUUGAUGUUCAUGGAUGAAAUGAUGUAUUACAUGAAUGCUGAAUUUUUUUAAUGCACAUGAUUUAAUGGUUUUGUUUGUUGUAUAGAAGUGGAAUUAUAGUUAUACAUAGUAUGAAAUUUAUUCAUGGUAUAUGCAUAACAUGCAGAAUUUUUAUUGAGUUCGACUUGUUUUAAUGGUUUUGCAUAUGAUGUGAAUGUAUGAGCAUGUGUUGAAUUUUAAAGAUGAAUGACAUGAAUUUAAAAUGACUUUUCAUGUGUAUUUUGUAAAUGCUCAUGAUGCUAAAUUUUGUUAUGUAAGUGCUGAAUUUUUCUAACUUGUUUUUAUUGUUUUCUUUGUAGCAUGGUACAUGGUAAUGAAGCAUGAACAAGCAUGGUCAAGAAUGGAGUAUGAAUGAAGACCAUUGAAUAACUUGGAAUUAUUUUUAUUCUUUUGUGUACGGAAAUUACGUAGUAUGUUUGUAAUGGCAUAAAGUGAUGUAAAGUGAAGUCAUGUAAAUGUAAAAAUAAUAUUUAGUGACUUUUGAACCUUAUGUACAUGGAUUGAAAGACCAUGAAUAAAAAAGGGAAUUAUAGCUCAAACUGUAUGUAUGGAAAUGAAUUCCAAUGAAUGCUUAGGGAAUUUACCCAUGAAGUGAAAA